CUCAAUCCCAGGACCCUGGGAUCAUGACCUGACCUGAAGACAGACAACCUGCCCAGCCACCUAGAUGUCCCUGUAGCCUUUGAUAUUACCUCAGUAUUCAGAGUUUACUCUAAGUCAGUGACCACAUGUAUGUAUUCUAGAGCACAGAGGACAGGAGUAACUACUCUAUCAGAAUAAGAGUAUUUCAGGGACUUGGUCUUUGCAGGAGAAACUCCAAUUCUUGAGAAACCCCAAUUCUUGAGGUAACUAAAAGUAGACGUUCAGAAGAUCAGGGCUUCUUCACAGAAGCCUUAAGGACUACAAAUAACAUGGGUUCUGUUUUUCAGGCAACAAGACUAUCAACUCUGAGGUUUAAAUAAAGGCUGAAUUUAUCUCGUUUAGCAAGGAAUAUUGGAACAUGGUUUAACUAAGGAUUGCUUGAUCGAGAUUUAUAUACUUUUCUGGUUGCUCUAAAACAGAAAAGAAAAAAAAAACAAAAAAGCCAAACCCAAGAGGAUCAAAGUGUAUGUCUCUGCUGGAACAAACAGAAGCAAGAGAGGCUGGGGAGAAGAGAAGAUUUAGCCCUUGGGUGGAUUUUGCUGAAAUGUUCUAUUUGUGCAGCGGUGAUUUGUACCAGUUCAGUUUUCAGGUUGAAGGUGCCCCAUUUCCCCUCCAGAGGGGUCUGCCUUCCUAAAGGUACACCGUGCCCUCCCGUUCUUCCAGGUUGCCCACUGUACACUCCGAAGAGAACCGUGACGAACUUGCCCUCUUGGGUCUUGAGUUGCCCAGAUGCGUGUUGCUGUCGCUGCAGCGGAAGACCUUCAUCCUACUGCUCACUCCUCGGCUCGACAAAAGCAAUUUUUCACUCCCGGGCUUUGCAGGGGCCAGGUUUCUGGUUUCUCCACCCCACCUCCCCGCAGCCCUCCGCUCCCUGCACCCAGGGCUUCCGGCCUCCACCCCGACAUUCCAGGUAACCUGACUCCCCCGACGGCAGAGGCGGGGGCCGGUGCCGGGAGGGCGCGGCCACGUGACCUCCCCGCCCGCCGGGAGCGCGCGCCCCACUCGGGGAACCGGGGGAGCCCAGCGCCCUGCUUAGAGACCGAAGUUGAAAAGCAUUAGAUUUGCCGAAAGGCCGCUUGCUUCUGCAUCAGGCAGCGUCCCCUGUGAUCAUCGCAAGUGCAAGGGCGAGGCGGGCCGCGGGGUUUUCCUGGCGUGAAGCGACCCGCCGGGCGAAGGCGGCGCGAGUCUGACGGCGGAGGCCGGGCGGGGCGCGGGGGCAGCCUGGGCUGGGAAGGGCGCCCCCCGGCGGCUCCCUCGCUCUGCCCCGGCUCUGCCCUCGCAGCUCUCGCCGCUGACCUGUGAAAUGGGAGAAAGUAUUAUGAUGUCAUAUAUAAUAAAUAUAUAAUAAAAUGGGAGAAAACAUUAUAAUAUCAUAUAUAUAAUAAAAUGGGAGAAAAUAGAUCACAUAUUAAUAUAUAAGUAUAUAAUAAAAUGGGAGAAAAUAUUAUAUCAUGUUAAUAUAUAAUAUAAUAAAUAUAUAAUAAAAUGGGAG
Molecule: long non-coding RNA, 1531 nt
Filed under: Canis lupus familiaris (dog)
Lineage: Eukaryota; Metazoa; Chordata; Mammalia; Carnivora; Canidae
Description: lncRNA (ENSCAFG00845018950.1)
Source: RNAcentral